Molecule: unclassified non-coding RNA, 2397 nt
Filed under: Neodiprion pinetum (white pine sawfly)
Lineage: Eukaryota; Metazoa; Arthropoda; Insecta; Hymenoptera; Diprionidae
Description: tHAP domain-containing protein 1-like, transcript variant X2
Source: RNAcentral
AUUUUGUACAGAUUCUUGUCACUUCAGAUAUAUAUAAAUAUAUACGUGAUAUAUGUAUGUGUAUAUAAUCGAUUGUGUUGGAAAAUUACAGUAACAAUUAUUGAGGUAACAAUGAGUACCUGCGUUUUUUGCAAAACAAAGCAAUCAAAAUAUUGUGGGCGAUCAUUUCACAAAUUUCCCGUGAAAGAUGUGUUGCGCCUUCAGCAGUGGUUAAAAGAAAUGAAGAGGAAGGACUGGAAGCCAAACCGAAAUAGCACAUUGUGUUCGGCUCAUUUUACAAAUGACUGCUUUGAUAGGACAGGAUUCCUAAUUACAUUGAAAAAGAACAGUGUACCAACUAUAUUUGACAACCCAAAAUCAGAGUGUUCAUCUUGUCACCGAUUAAGGGAAUAUGGACGUGGCUAUUCAUUCUUCAAGUUCCCAUUGGAUGAACCUGAUAUUAUGAAGCAGUGGAUCGCAAAUAUAAACAUUGGUCCGUGGUCUCCAUCAAGUGAUAGCUUUCUGUGUUCCGACCACUUUGAACUCUCUUGCUUUCAGAAGAAAAGUAAAAAUUAUAUAACUUUACGAAAAGGCAGUAUCCCAACGUUAUUUGGUAAGAUCUGAAACUAUUAAUCCCUUUUAGGUCAGAGAAAACUCAGUGUGCAUAAAGACACGUUGAUGUGAUGCACUAUUGCGUCAAUGUCGUCGAAGCGGUUAAUUACCUACAGAUUAUAAAGUGCUCUGUUACAGAAAAAUCGUGUGUGACACAUUUCUGUGUAUUUCCAUUGUCGUUAUUUAUUAGUAACUUAUCUGUAGGUGAAAACUUGCAGCAGACCGAAUUUCAGGAUGAAUCCGAUCGGCCCACCACAGUGAAUCUCCACUUUGAUGAUCAAUGGAUGGUAAAUGGAUUCCCUAACGGUUGAAUUAGUGUUAUACAAAUUUUUGAAUAAUCCGUAUGAAAUUCAGCCCACCAUAGGAUAAAGGAUAAUGGACGGAAACUUCUUAGAAUUGAGGACUUCUUUUGAACAUAAAGAAAAAUCACGCUUAAACACAAGUUUUUCGUCAUAUUAUUUAAUGAUCUUUUACAUCAUAUAAUUGUAAAUAAUAAUAUACCUUCGAAAAAAUGAUUUGUUCUUCAUUUAAUGUAUCAAACAUUAUUUUACUCGUCAAAAACUUUUUUGUGUGACGAAUAUAUCGUUAGAUUUAAAUAGCAUAUUUUACGCAGUUCAAAUCUAGCGCGCAUUCUGUGACAACUUUCUGUACAAGAUGGCGGAAAUUCAAGUGUUCAAUUGGACACACGAGCUUACACGUAGAGUAUACGGUAAUAUCCAAUCCAGUGUAUAUAUAUAUCAGUGCCGGCAUCGGGGCAAACCUUCUGAGUGGAACACGCCGUAAAACGUAUAAAGGCAGACUGGAUCAUAAUUUCUCCUAAAUCAGAAAUAAUGUGACGUUACUUGACCGACUGCGCGACUGGCAGUUUUUCAAGUAUCACCCGAGGUGGUUAGCGGUGGUCGUUGGAGGAGGUUGGCGGUGGUUGGCGGUGGUCGGAGGUGGUUAGGGGUGGUUGCGGGUGAUCGAGGUGGACGAGGAGGAGGACCAGGAAGCCGAGGAGAACGGGGAUUUCGGCAUGGCGAGCGAAACACAUUUAUAUAUUUGAUAGCAAUUGUAUAACCCGCGGUGGUCGGAGGUGGACGAGGAGGAAGACGAGGAUUUGUGCUCGUAUUCCAGGUAUAACCUCAGGUGGUAGGCCGUGAUUGAAAGUGUUUGGAUGAGGAAAACAGGGCAGAGGACGAAGAGGACGAGGAGGACAAAGGCGAGGAGGAGGACUGGGAUGAGAAGGAAGAGGAGAAGGACGAGGUCGACGAGGAGGACGGAGGUAGUGGAAGGUGGUAACGGGUAGUAGGCAGAAGUAGGAGUAGGAUUAGGUUUAGGUAUAGGAGUAGGAGUAGAAGUAGGAGUGUGAGUAGUAGGAGUUAGAGUAGGUGUAGGAGUUGGAGUAGGAGUAGGAAUAGGAGUGAAAGUAGUAGUGCGGGGCGGGUAAGGGGAGGGGAGGGUAGCCUCUACCCUACCCCUACCCGUACUCUACCCUACCCAACCCUACCCGCCUCUACCCUCCUCCUAUACUCCUACUUCUACUCCUACUCCUACUUCUACUUCAAUCUCACUACUACUUCUACUACGAUCUUACUCCAACUCCUGAUCCUACUCCUAUUCCUACUCCUAAUUCUGAAUAUUAAUGUUACGGAAUAUAUGGACUGCGUGUCAAAUUGAAUCCCAUAUCAAAACGAACAAUUAUUUUAUUGUCAUAUUAUAGCUGAUUAUAGUAGAUCAUCUAGUAUGUUUCUUAUAAAAUUAUAAAAUUUAUAGUAUGCAUUACGUAUUAAUCAUGAAUGAAUCAUAUAUAUCAAUGUUGUACAU